RNAcentral lists this small nuclear RNA (191 nucleotides) under Betta splendens (Siamese fighting fish). RNAcentral's name for it is "U2 spliceosomal RNA (ENSBSLG00000001123.1)". It matches the Rfam family "U2 spliceosomal RNA". Rfam says of the family: U2 is a small nuclear RNA (snRNA) component of the spliceosome (involved in pre-mRNA splicing). Complementary binding between U2 snRNA (in an area lying towards the 5' end but 3' to hairpin I) and the branchpoint sequence (BPS) of the intron results the bulging out of an unpaired adenosine, on the BPS, which initiates a nucleophilic attack at the intronic 5' splice site, thus starting the first of two transesterification reactions that mediate splicing. The record is from Rfam by way of RNAcentral. Lineage: Eukaryota; Metazoa; Chordata; Actinopteri; Anabantiformes; Osphronemidae.
AUCGCUUCUCGGCCUUUUGGCUAAGAUCAAGUGUAGUAUCUGUUCUUAUCAGUUUAAUAUCUGAUACGUCCCCUACCCGGGGACCAAUAUAUUAAAUUGAAUUUUGGAGCAGGGAGAUGGAAUAGGGCUUGCUCCGUCCACUCCACGCAUCGACCCAGUAUUGCAGUACUUCUGGGAACGGUGCACCCCCC